ACGUAGGGUGCGAGCGUUGUCCGGAAUUACUGGGCGUAAAGAGCGCGUAGGCGGGUUUUCACGUCGUCUUUGAAAUCCUAGGGCUUAACCCUGGACGUGCAGGCGAUACGGGCUGGCUUGAGUACUACAGGGGAGACUGGAAUUUCUGGUGUAGCGGUGAAAUGCGUAGAUAUCAGGAAGAACACCGAUGGCGAAGGCAGGUCUCUGGGUAGUAACUGACGCUGAGGAGCGAAAGCAUGGGUAGCGAACAG
Molecule: ribosomal RNA, 251 nt
Filed under: uncultured prokaryote
Description: partial 16S rRNA
Rfam family: Bacterial small subunit ribosomal RNA
Source: RNAcentral